Molecule: ribosomal RNA, 666 nt
Filed under: Epitrimerus sabinae
Lineage: Eukaryota; Metazoa; Arthropoda; Arachnida; Trombidiformes; Eriophyidae
Description: 12S ribosomal RNA
Source: RNAcentral
UAAAUAAAUAAGAAUUUUAAAAGUAAAAAAAGCAUAAGGAAAAUCAAAAAAAUAAAAGAAUUCCCUGAAAUUCAGAAAUAAGAAAUUAGAGCGGGAAAAAUUUAGCCAAGUAAGUGCCAGCAGCUGCGGUUAUACUGGAAAAGUUUAAAUUACAAUAAACUAAAUUAAAUGAAAAAAAAGUAGACAAAGGUGAAAUUUUUAAAAUUAAAAAAUUUAAAGAUAUAGAGUUUGAAAAUAGAAACAAGGAUUAGAUACCCUAUUAAAUUAAAACAAGGUAGUAUUUAAAUAAAAGAAACCUAAUUGCAAUGGCGGCAAGAAAUAUUUCCAGGGGAUUUUGUCAUAUAAUCGCCAACCCGCGAUGGAACUAACUAACUUUAAAAUUCUUCAUAUCAUUGUUUGAAAGCGAAAGAUAAAGUUAUUUUGCUAAUAGAGGUUCCUAACUAAUAAAACAAAUCAAGACAAAAAUUAUAGGUUAGGAAUAGGCGAAAUACUUUAAGAGACCAAAUAGAAGGUUGAAGAAUAACACCAAACAAAGAACUUGCGACUAAAAAUUUGAAAUGUAUUAAGUUUUGAAUAAUCCAUUUCUCGUGCACAUAUCGCCCGUCACUCUUACGUUGAACAUAAGAUAAGUCGAAACAAAGUAGAUUAAACGGAAGCUUAAUCUUG